Molecule: long non-coding RNA, 1395 nt
Organism: Acinonyx jubatus (cheetah)
Lineage: Eukaryota; Metazoa; Chordata; Mammalia; Carnivora; Felidae
Exons: 4
Source: RefSeq, a predicted model, not a curated record
CAUUAUAGCUUCAGAGAGAUUUUCAACCAAAGGAGCUACCAGAGGUGUCAGUCCUGAAAGGGCAUCUUGGAGUUUAAGGAAGCCUUGCUGAAAGACAUAGGCCAAGCCCUUAGAACUGCCUGAGAGGCAGAGGCCCAAAGAAGCCAACAGUGGGGCAUAAGGAGGAGGCUCCUCCUCGGACAAGAUGUCCAAGCUCACAUGCCUCAAAGUGUAUAGAAGUCUCUGCACCUGACAAAAGGCUUCUGCAGUCCCCCCAGAACUCCCCCCAGUUCUCAGGAUUACAAAGAAGAUGGAGAGACAAAGAUAGGCUGGACAUCACAGUGGGGGAAAGUGCUUUGAGAAAACACAGCAGGCUCACAAGCUUCAUUACAAAAUAUACAGGAGGAUGAAUCUUCCCCUAAAUAUUUGUUGUUUGCUGCACAGAUCUGACAUAAUUAAGAACUGCUAGAGCUACUAUUUUCCAGAUGUUACAGCCUUGUUCAGAGGUCAGAUUUCAAAGAAAGCAAAAGACUGAAGAUCUUGACAGAUGAAGGAAGCAGAAUUUUCUACUAACCUGAAUAACACCAAUGAAAGGAACCAGAAGUUUCUCAUUGCUUCCAGCUCAGAGUAAGUCAGCUGGAAAGAAAGGUGGCGGGGAGGAGGAGUGGGAGAAUGGAGAAAGAAAAGAAGGAAAGAAAAGAAAAGAAUAUGAUCAUUAAGAUUUGCUUCUACAGAGGGGCACCUGGGUGGCUCAGUCAGUUAAACAUCUAACUUUGGCUCAGGUCAUGAUCCCACAGUUCAUGAGUUCGACUUCCAUGUUAGGCUCUGGACUGACAGCCUGGAGCCUGCUUCGGAUUCUGUGUCUCCCUCUCUCUGUCCCUCCCCUGCUCACACUCUGUCUCUCUCUCUCAAAAAUAAAAUAAAAGAGAAACAUUAAAAAUUUUUUAAAAAAUAUUUCUACACUUUUUUUAAUGUUUAUUUUUGAGAGAAAGAGAGAGGAAGGGAGGGGCAGAGAGAGAAAGGGAGAUACAGAAUCUGAAGCUAGCUCCAGACUCUGAGCUGUCAGCACAGAGCCCAACACGGGGCUCAAACUCACAAACUGUGAGAUCAUGACCUGAGCCAAAGUCAGACACUUAACCAAAUGAGCCACUCAGGCGUCCCUCCUUCUACAGAAACUUUUAAUCAUUUGUGGGCAAUGCUGGAAGAAAAGGUAGAAAUAAUUUGAAAAAAUUAAAAGCGGAUAAAUGGGGCACCUGGGUGACUCAGUCAGUUAAGCAUCUGACUUCAGUUCAGGUCAUGAUCUCGUGGUUUGUGGCUUCGAGCCCUGCAUCAGGUUCUGUACUGACAGCUCAGAGCCUAGAUUCUGUGUCUCCCUCUCUCUCUAUCCCUCCCCUGCUUGUGCUCUGCCUCUCUCUC